AUGUCCAAGGCCGCCGCAGCCGCCGCAGCGGCGGCGUCCCUCCCGCCACCGCCGCCCGAGGUGGCCCACCUGGUGGAGCAGCUCCAGCGCCAUCACCUCGCCCCGGACGCCUCCCUCCUCUCCAGCUCCGCCCACUCCGACCUCCUCCAGGCGCGCGAGGAGGUCGCGGCGGAGCGCGCCCGCUACCUCGAGGCCCUGGCGGUGUACGCGGAGGCGAUGGCCAUGGUGGAGGAGUACCAGCACGCGACCGCCGCGGGCAGCGCCGGUGCCGCCAAGAAGCUCAACUGCUCCCCGGAGGUCUACGAGUCCUUGGAGCACCAUUUGGCGGUCGCCGAGGCGGCCCAGAGGUUGAGGCUCCCACUGCUCUCGCAGGACGGGGAGGUGCAUGAGGAGGAGAUAGAAAAGCUGAGCACCUUGUCAAGGGUUUCAUUUGACAGUACCGUAACAAGUGCCACGCCAAGCUCAACCUCAAUCUCGACUAACUACAAUAACUAUGGCAGCACCGGUAGUGCGUUGACUGCUGCCGCUGCCGCUGGUGGUGGUGGUUCGGAGCUGGUUGAGCCCGGGGCAGGUGGUGUUCCUGAUCGCUUUCUUGGGAUAACAUCAGAUUAUCUCUACCAGGUGCAGCAACAGCAGCCAGCCAUGACUGUGGACAUGGUCGAGUAUCAGAGAUCUGUGGCAAGAGAGAUUGAGGCUCGGUUAGAAGCUAAGUGUGACGCUUUAGCUGAUCUUUUUGCAAUGGAUGAAAGGGAUUCGUCAUCCAUCAAUCAGAUUUCAAGUGCCAGGCUUCCAGAAAGGGUGAAAUUAAUUAUCGAAGGAAUAGAAAAGGAAGAGUCCCUUCUACUGGAGGAUCUUGCUUCGAUGGACAGGAAAUUUGCUGAGCACUAUAAUGUCCUGGAGCAAAUUCUUGCUGUACUUAUACAGUUUGUUAAAGACAAGAAGUUAGAACACCAGCACCAAUAUGAUGAUGUGAAGAAGACCUGGCUUAUUAAAAGAUGCCGUACUAUGAAUGCUAAACUAAGCUACCUGGAGCACCAUCUCUUGCGUGACACCUACACGAAGGAAACAGUACCUGCAUUGCAUAGAAUCAGGAAAUAUCUUGUGGAGGCAACGAAAGAAGCAUCCAAUUCCUAUAAUGAAGCGGUCUCACGUCUCCGCGAGUACCAAGGCGUAGACCCGCACUUCGACGUGAUUGCGAGGCAGUACCAUGAGAUCGUGAAGAAAUUGGAGGGCAUGCAGUGGACGAUCCACCAGGUGGAGAUGGAUCUGAAGCCGGCCUCGUCAUGA
RNAcentral lists this ribosomal RNA (1287 nucleotides) under Triticum aestivum (bread wheat). RNAcentral's name for it is "partial small subunit ribosomal RNA". The record is from RNAcentral. Lineage: Eukaryota; Viridiplantae; Streptophyta; Magnoliopsida; Poales; Poaceae.